This 359-nucleotide ribosomal RNA is filed under the name uncultured Latescibacterota bacterium. Its description in RNAcentral is "bacterial SSU rRNA". It matches the Rfam family "Bacterial small subunit ribosomal RNA", at positions 1024 to 1382 of the family's 1533-position model. The record is from RNAcentral. Lineage: Bacteria; Pseudomonadati; Candidatus Latescibacterota.
AGGCACCUGCACGGGUGCUGCAUGGCUGUCGUCAGCUCGUGUCGUGAGAUGUUGGGUUAAGUCCCGCAACGAGCGCAACCCUUAUCCCUAGUUGCCAUCAGGUAAAGCUGGGAACUCUGGGGAGACUGCCGGUGAUAAACCGGAGGAAGGCGGGGAUGACGUCAAGUCCUCAUGGCCCUUACAUCCCGGGCUACACACGUGCUACAAUGGCAGGUACAGAGGGCUGCGAAGCCGCGAGGUGGAGCGAAUCCCAGAAAACCUGUCUCAGUCCGGAUUGAAGUCUGCAACUCGACUUCAUGAAGGCGGAAUCGCUAGUAACCGCGAAUCAGCAGGUCGCGGUGAAUACGUUCCCGGGCCUU